Molecule: non-coding RNA, 596 nt
Organism: Zootermopsis nevadensis
Lineage: Eukaryota; Metazoa; Arthropoda; Insecta; Blattodea; Termopsidae
Source: RefSeq, a predicted model, not a curated record
CGCACGAAGGGGCCAGAAAUUCUGAUACGCCCUAUAGUGACGAGGAAGACAGAGGUGACUUGUUGAUUCAUUCUCGCAAAGCCACUUACAGUUUCGGACUUCAUCCAGUGCGGACGAACACAUCUCACUUGACUUCAAAAUGGGUCGUGCCACACUGUUGGUACUCGCGUCUAUUUGCCUCGUGCUGGUGGCUCACGGCCAAGAAGUGACCCAAUGUGAUGAUGUGAAGUGUCCGUGGAUGGAGGAACAAAUUUGCCCUGGGGAAUUUAUUCCACAAGAACCCAGCAUCGGCAGAUGUUGUUCGACCUGCGUGGUGACUGUUGAGGGAGGUCAAUCCUGUACGUCAGCACAUCCUGGUUUCCAAAUCGACUGCAGAAAUCCUUACAACUGUCAAGAUGGCGUCUGCUCCGAGUGACAUCGCGAUGUCUAUAACAGGGGCAGUAACAUCAUGAUGGAUCUAGGUUCAGAUUGACAUAAUGCAUAGUGAAAGAGUUUCCAUCUUCAGAAUCUUCAACAUUCAACUGAUACCAAUCUUUGUUGUCCUUACGUAUAACCAAACAAAUUGAAGUUCAUUAUUAAAUUACAUUUAAAGCAAA